GCGGAAACGAGGCGGGGUUUUGUCGCGGGGCGGGAGGGGGAAGUGAGAGAGGAGCAGGAGUAAUUUACGAAAAGCUCCGCGGCGGUAGGCCUUUCGGGAAACGCCUCUAGGUGAGGCCCCACCCAAUGGCGGGAGGGCGUGGGAGGCGGGGCUUGGCCGACAGCUCUUCUGAACUAGCUGUUCCGAGUGGGGCGGGCAGGAGGCAAAGCUAAUAACAGGCGGCGCCUACGGCCAAUCGCGGGAGGGGGGUUCUGAGGCCUGAACGGGCGUGAUGAAAUUGUGCGUCUUAACUCGUGAUUGAAUUGCCUGUAAUCCAAUCACGGCUGAGGCUCUCCCCUCCGCCCACAAGACCGUUUCGCAAAGUGGGUUUGGGGAGGCCUGGGAUAAUGCGGGGAAUGGCACGGAAUGUAGCCAAUCAGCUUCCGCAGAGAGAAUGGUGAGGGGAAGACGCGUUUCAUAGUGAUGGAACGCUUAGCCAAACAGCGCCAAGAAGAGACCGGAGAAAAACAGUCUGCCCCAAUGAGGAAGAGGGACCUCCUUAAAUUGGCCAAUGGGCGAGGCGGUCCCUGCGGUGUGUGGUUGUUUUUUGAGGAAAAGGUGACGGAUGUUGGCGCCAUUUUAGCUCAGGCGCAGAGGGCGACGUCCCGCCUUUUUCCUCCAUUUAAUGAAGCGGUUAUGUAACAAGUGACGCGAGUGGGGUUUUUUUUUCUUCCUGGGAAUUGGCGAAAGGUCUCACAUCCGGUCAUAACUUGAGUGGCUGGUUGUGACGGUUAAUUUUUUUUUUUUUCGCUAAUUGCCAGCGAAAAGAAGAUGGAGACCGGGGAGGAGGAAGGGUCAGGUGUUUUUCUUUUCUCACGUGUUGCGCAUAACACGCUUUUUAGAGCAGCAGCCACAGAAAUUAGAAACGGUGCCCUUCAGAAAAGGAGCGGGUCAAUCUGCACGUGCUCAGAGGCACGUGAGUUUAAGGGCCAAGGUUUCUAGGCGGAUCUGGUUCUUCUGUAUUAUUUUUGUUACCAAAAUCAAUAGUUAAAGGUGUUCGUUUUCCCCACAGCCUCUUUUUCUCCUGGUUUCAUCCGUGUUCUGGUCUACACUGAAACUCCACUGUUGUCAGUGGAAGCUGAAUUUCAGUUCCACACAUGUUUACCCAAAUACCCAGUGGGUCAGUUACAGGUGACACUUAAUAUCUGUCAUGCAAUUGUAAGAAAUCAAUCUUGUAGUGUGGCAGCACCUAAACUUUGGAACUUGCUGCCGGUUGACAUCAGGCAGGCACCUGCUAAAAGUAUUUUUGGUUAGACAAACCCGCAUUGCAGGGGGUUGGACUAGAUGACCGUCAGGAUCCCUUCGAGCUCUACAACUGCUUCUACACAGAUGUCUGUUUUGAUUUGAUUUUAGUUUAUCACUGAAUGUUGUUUUUAAUAGCUGUUUUUAACUGUUUUGCCAAUACAGUAAUUCAUUUCAUUUUAGGUUUACAAUCAAGUUACAUCCAAUCAGAGCUACCUUGUGCAAUAAUUUCCUUUUGGUCUUAACUCUGGCUAAUGCAAACUGGUCAGUGUAGGGUGAAAAGGUCAGCAAAAUGAAAUCCAUCUAAGCAAGUGUUUAGAUAACCAGACCCUCAAGGAUUGCAUAGAGAUUUCCAUAUAAUAGGAACAAUAUCUUCAAAUAAAGCUUUAGGUGUUGGUCGGAUAACUCAUGUCUGAAUCCUGUAUCUGUUAUCUCACCUUAAGAAUGUAAAAAAGCUGCUGCUGGACCAAAACAAAGACCCAUCCUGUUCUCAGUGGCCAGCCAGAAGUCUAUAAGAAGCCCAAGAGCAGGACCUGAGUGGAAUAGCACCAUCUCUACUUGUAAUUCCCAGCAAUUUUUAUCCAGAGAUUGCCUCUGGCACUAGACAUAGAGCCAUCAUGACAAGUAGUCAUUGAUAGCUUUAUCCUCCAUGAAUUUAUUUGAUCCUCUUUUAAAGCCAUCCAAGCUGGUGGCCACCACAUCUCAUGGAAGCAAACUCUAACUAUGCACUGUGAAAAAGUACCUUCUUUUGGCUGUCCUAGAUCCAUACCAUGCAUUGUCUUACAGACUUCUAUCAUGUCCCACCCCCUGUUGUUUUCCAAACUAAAAAGUUGCAACCUUUCCUCCUAGGGAAGUUGCUCCAGCAUCCCCCCCCCCUUCUGAAUCUGGUAAUCCCUUCUUCCUCCAAAUUGAAAGGAGGAUCUGACCAAGUGUCCUGCGUUAAUCUGUAGCUGGGAUUUCCCUGGUUGGACCCACUUUGCCUUCCUCUUCCAUUCCAGGGAUGGAUAAAUCAUUUCACAUGGACUCAGAGAAACUUUUUAUACCACAAGGUCAAAUAUUUUCAUCCCUGGAUAAGUUAACGGAGGAAAUGUUGAGCUAAGAAAUAAGUAUCCAUGCAGGCCUUCAUUUGCACCCGUGUGAAAACAAAAUAAAAGUGAGGCUCUGGUGCCCUGCAGCAAAAAAAAAUAUAAGCAGGAUAGUUACUGCUUCAUAAACUUUAUAACGCAGAUGAAGUGAAGUUAUUUUUCCCCUUGUAAGUGUUGGAAGCUUCAGGAAAGACACAAAGGAUAGGACAAAAUUCUGCUAUUCUUUCAGUGUUGCACUGGAUAUCCUCUUGGAGAAAGCCCAAAAUGAGCGUGAGAGCAGCUGCUGUCUAUGUUAAACCAGCAGCUGGAAAAUUCUGCCUCUACCAAGUAUGACCUCACGCCCCCAUUCCCAUCCGAGGGAAUUGUUUUCAUUUCACUUCUGGAGAUCAGAGGGCAACCAAAAUAACAGUGUUUCUUAGUCAACCGUUCAAGUUUUGAAGAGAAGGAAAAGCCUCUAGACAGAAAUGCAGAGGAUGCAGAACCCAUAAAAGCAAAGAAACAGCAGCUACAAAAAAAACAACAUGGAAACUUCUGCUGCUGCCUGGUUUCAUAUCUAAGUGCUUUGAAGAGUUGCGAGGGGCAGGGCUAUAGUUGCUGAUCCAGAGACAUCAUCGAAAAGCUCUUCAGCAGGAACUGGAGCCACUGGUUAAGUGGAUAUAAGCAGAUCUGCUUGAGCUGCAGGCCAGCUUGAUAUUCAGGAUCCACUUUGCCCUGUUGGUUUCCUGGGUAGAGGGCCCUGUGGCGCAGUUGUACUGUCCCCAGUUUGUCAUGUUAAGAUCACCCAGCCCUCCAUCAUGUAUAAGCAAAGCAGAGGAGUCAAGUCAGUCAAGUGCCCAAUACACAACCAGAAGAAAGGCUUCUGUCUCACACAGUGACAGCCCCUACCUCCUGGCAUUGUCACGCUUCUUGCUUCAUCCCUGAGUGCCCCCUGGACAUCUUCCUGACUAGGUGACUGCCUGGAAAAUGACACCUGUCAAUCAGCACCCACCUGGGCCAUGGAUCUUGAAAGUCACUGAUUACCAAAAUACCCAUAUUCUGGUGCUGUGUUUUAUUUCAGUUUUUAUCUACGUACUUGCUAUUUCUCCCCAUCUUCCUUAUUACCUAUACUUUUGAAUAAACUGAUGGAUUGGAUUCUCGAGGUGUACUGGUUUCUGGACACACUCAAGAGCUGGUUGUCCUCCCACAUUCCUUAGACAUCUUGGGCUAUGUAACUGGUAGUCACACAGUGCUGGGAGAGCAGGAGGGGAAGCAGACUGAAGUUGCUAAGCAGGAGAUUUGGAAUUCAGCUGUCUGUUAACCUACCAUAACCCAUUGCUGUGUGUGACACAAAAGCAGGUAGUGGCAAUAGAAAGAAUAUGAUGGGUCACCCAGUGCCGCUAGGCUACCUUGUAGGCUUGGUGCUGGAGCGGGGCCACCCUACCAUUACAGCACAAACACAAUGAGCACUCAGGUUGGUUGGCCAGCUGGCAUCCCAUUACCAUGCAACUCUGGUUCAGUAACUUGUGUCUGACAGACUUCGAAAUGGAUGAUUUCUUGCAAAGGGACUUAUGCUUUUCUUUAUUAGCUUGCUUUGGACUCUCAGCAUCUGGUAGGAUUGCAGCUUUAAAAAGAUUUGGUAGAAUGCUUGUGCCAAAAAACAGCAUUGCAGGCAAAAAAGAACAACAGCU
Molecule: long non-coding RNA, 4033 nt
Filed under: Podarcis lilfordi (Lilford's wall lizard)
Lineage: Eukaryota; Metazoa; Chordata; Lepidosauria; Squamata; Lacertidae
Source: RNAcentral